UCACACACAGGAUUCAAAAUCAAACACACAGCAGCCAUCAGAUCUUGGAACAAUCCAGAUCUGAUGGUUCACAGAGCGAGGGAACACAACAAGAGCACGCACGCGCGCGCGUGGGAACGGAGGGAGUAUAAAAAGGAAUUUUCACACAAAAAUCACAUAAACUUCUUCUUCUUCUCUCUCUAAGUCUAAGUCACAAUUAGAGAGAGAAGCUCUCCCUUCUCUCUAAAAAUCCCGCCGGCGAAGGUGGGUGGUGGUGGUGAUUCCGGCGCGGCGGCCGGCCGGUUUCCGGCGGCGGCGCCACCGCGCCGGAAAAUUCGAACUUCUUUUUUUUUUAAAAUUUUUACAUCAAAAGUUCCGUCACCACCUCCUCUACACAAAUCCGGCGUUAGUUUUAGCGAGAACGGAGCGAUUCGGACUAGAUCUACAUUUUUUCUUUGAAAAUUUUUCACACUUUUUUUAAAAAAAAACUACGGAUCUAGAUAUCCUUUUCUCUCUAGUGUCCGAAUCCGGCCUCAAAAUUUUCAAAAUCCGAACGUACACGCCUAGAUCUACAAAUACAUAUCCGUAACAAACUUUUUCACACCUUUUUUUACACUACAUAUGCGCGCGAAAACGGAGAAAAAGAGGAGAGAAAUGCGUUACCUCUGUCGUGAAACGGAGAAAAAUCUUCGGAAAAACUUCGAAUCCUCCUCUUCUCUUUCGCGCGCGCUAUACCCUCCGUUGGUGUUGUUUUUGCUCGAAAAUCCGGUACGUUUUGGUGUUGAUGUGGUGAUUCGCGGUGGUUUUGAGUGAAUCCGGUUCGGAUUUGUUGAUUUUGUGGUGGUUGGAGCUGAUUCCGAGCAGAUCCGGUUUAGAUCUGUUGAUUUUGGUGAUGAGGUGUUCUUGGUGUUCUUCCUCUUUUUUAUGAGUUUUUUCUGUUUUGAUUCUGUUAUGGAUGAGAGAGAGAAAAAGAUUCUGUUUGAGACUGAUUGUGAUUGAUUCUGAUUUUUUUUUUUGACUGAUUGUGAUGGAUCUGACACAUUUACUAUUUAUAGCCUGCCAUGUGUAUCUGAGAACCAAUGAAAAAAUGACAUCUGGACUGUUUUGGACUUAAGGACUAAUCUGCAAAAAGGUUAAUAUGAGGACUAAUCUGCAAAAUAAGAAAAAGGACUAAAAAAUGCAAUUUUAAAAAGUAUUGGACUAAAAUGCAAGUUAAAAUAAAAUUGGAUAAAAAUUGGUAAUUUGAAAAAACGUAAAGUGAAACAAAAAAUAAAAUCAACAAAAGGACUAAAACGAACCAAUUACUGACACGAGGUAUUUUAAAAUACCUCCCUGUCGAAAUUUUGACAGGAAAAGACAAAAAUGCCUCUAGGGACUAAACUGACUCCAUUGCAAGAAAUGACCAAAAUACCCUUUUGUAUGAUUUUUGAAAUAAAAUGCAAGAAAAGGUAAUGCGAUGUUUCUGAGAGAGUUUAAACGACUUGUAAUGCAAGAAAGACAUUUUGGAUGGUUUUGUGCGCAAGAAAAUCAAAGAUAAAAUCAUGAUUGAAAAUAGUUUGAGACAGAGACAUUAAAAUAUGCAGAUGAAACAAAGUAAAGGUUCAUGGAAACAUAACAGUAAAUUGACAAUUAUCAGUGUUGAAAAAGAAAUUUGAAUGAGUAUUUUUAGGUCCAAAAUUAGGGUAUAACAAUGUUGUUUAUUUUGUUUCUGUGAUCGUUGAUGCUUGCCUUGUUCUUUGUUUGUGUUUGUUGCGUUUUUGAGACAGUUGUUUUGAUUAUUCGUUUUCGGGUUUUGGAAGUGAGGUUCAAGAAAGUCAGCCUCAAGCAUAAUGUUGUG
This 1816-nucleotide long non-coding RNA is filed under the name Medicago truncatula (barrel medic). Its description in RNAcentral is "long non-coding RNA (MTRU_LNC003573)". The record is from RNAcentral. Lineage: Eukaryota; Viridiplantae; Streptophyta; Magnoliopsida; Fabales; Fabaceae.